GGGGUGCUAAUCCUUCCCUGGGCGUAACCGUACUCCCAAACCUAGAUCUAGAAAAAUGUAGACCAGUUUAAGAUUCUCUCGGCGGGCUUAAAAUUAAUUUAAGACUUCGUCAAUUAGAAUCGAGUCAAUAGGUAGCCAAUCACACCUAGAAAAAAGAUUGGUGGUGACUCCUAAUGUGUUUUCAUCACGUCUGGCAGUCGGGUUCUCAGACCCGUACGUUACGACAAAUAUUAUUCUUGUGCUAAGCCAAAAGGGUAUUUUAUUCCAUGAGAUAUAUAAUUACUUUGAAACCAGCAAAAGCUAAUUGCCAUGUAAGAACAGAGAAAACACCAAAGUUGCCAUGGCAACCUAAAAUCUAAGAACACAUGCAACUGCGAAAACUUACCCCAUAGGAGAAACUCUUCAGCUCUCUAGCCAACAUAUCUCUAAAUUUUUCCACAACUAAUUCUUCAUCACAAUUUUCAGUAAGACCCAAUUCCACCCCGAAUGCCGAUUGGAACCUCGCAAGGCUUAGCAUCAGCUUCCGCACCUCCCUGGUGAGCGACAAUUAUUAAAUCUCGCAUUUCAAGAAAUCAUAAGUUGUUUCCAAAUCAAAAUAAUAAAAUAUUAUUUUUUUGCUCACAAGGACAUUUUCAUUAUUUUUCUUUGAAAAUACAGAAACCCACCAAAAACAUGGUGUAAAAGCUAAAUAUGUUCAUACAUACUUUAAAUCAGAUAAUUGAAGUAUAAAAUUACUUUUACAGUGACACGUGGGCCCCCAACUGACCAAGAAGGUGUAGGGCUACGAACCCUUACUUUCUAGGAUGUAACUCCGAGAUUAAUUCUCGUCUUAAUCAACUAUCAACAAACUGUCCUGAGUCUGAAAAAUAGAUAGGAAGAGGGGUGAGAUUACAUAAUCCCAGUGAGUAAACAAACACCACCUAAACUAUCUAAAGGCGAGUAAAUGGAGACAAUUAAAAAAAUUCAUUUCAGCAAAUUUUUCACAACACGAAUAUUCAUUUCAACCAAAUAAUCAAUAUGACUCGUGAAUUUCUCAAAACUUGGCUCAUGCCAAAUCCUGUACUCGGGGACACCUGGACCAAGGGUAUCCAACCGAGUCUGCCAAGGCUGUGAAAAAUUUUAUAUAAUCAUAGAACUUGUUUUUAUUUUGAAAAAAAAGCAGUAGUUCCUUGGCGUUGACUGAGUCUCACUUCACGUGGUGGUUAACGUAAAGUACACUUAAAAAGCCCACCUCAGGAGAUACCCUACGCGCCUCUACUAUCGAAGUGAGAAUAUAAAGGAGUUUACCGUGCCCCUUUAAUAGGUUGGUCCACGAAACCCCGCCACUGUAGUAGCUAAUCUUUAAUCCACCAAUUGAUCAAAUCUCAAUGGCAUAGCAUGGCAAUUACAUUACUAAUCAAUUUAUCAAGGCAAAAUAGACAGUUCAUAUUUUUCAACACAAGUAUAAAUUCAAUCAAUCAUGCCAAUUUAUCACAAGCCAUUUAAUUCAAAUCAUAAUUUACAAUAAAUCACAUCAUCUCCAAUUACUCAAAUUUUCAAAUCCAACAUUCUAUUUUCAAAUCAAUUUAUAAGAAAUUUAAUUUAUUUUAUAAUUCCAUUUAUUUUAUAAUUCCAUUUAUUUUAUAAAUUCAUAUUUUUCUCAUAAAACAAAAAAUUCAUCAUUUAAAAUAAUUUUCACAAAUCACAAAAUUGAAUAAAAACUACUCUAGAUAAUUUAGAUGAUAAUAGGUUUACUCACAGUUCUAGGAGUCGAUGUAUUUCUAAUCUCAAUCUUCAAGCACAAUCUUUGUACUUUUAUCAGUGUAAUUUACUCACCACCUAUCCACAAUGUACAAUACAUAACUCACCACAUUAAUGCUUGACCAUUAUAAAAUCAAUUCAAGCUCGGCGUAUAUGCAUGAUAUGAUAUGUAACUUAUCCGACUACCGCUUAAAUGCGGUGCUGACCUAAUUUGACCUAUUACCCUAUUAAAUGACAAUUGUGUCCGAUUUGGCUCCAAAUUGCUCCAUUUCAUUUCUAGUACCUCAAUUCACCAAACAUUAUUCAAAUAACACCAAUUUCAGAAUCAAAACCCUUCCAUUUCUUCAUGGAAAAAUUUGGUCAUUACAGUACACUAACACCGUGAUUUUUCCUACUUAAUUUUCUCACCAUUAUUCAUCAUUUUCUAAGCCAUUUCUCUUGAAAUAAUAACAAUCCAUCGCCCACACACAUCAAGGAAGAUUCGACCAAUGAAGAUUCAUGGGGAAAAUGGAUUCUUUUCUUGUUGUUUUACUUCUAAAUAUGCUAAACUAACUAAAAACACUAACAUAUCUUAAAAUCAAUUCAAUCCAACAUCUUUCUCUCUCCUUACCCAUUUUGACCAGUCAUGAAUUCAUCAUGAAAACAUGUAAUUUAACCAUGAAAAUUAAGGGAAAAUGCAUGGGUAAGAUAAAUCACUAGCAAAAUCAAAGAAAUUUUACCUUUGCUUGAUCAAAUCCUUGAAUUCCAACACUUUCUCUUUGAUUUUUCCCACCUAGGGUUUGUUCUUCCUUGGUUUCUCUUCUCUUCUGGUUUGGC
RNAcentral lists this long non-coding RNA (2556 nucleotides) under Theobroma cacao (cacao). RNAcentral describes it as "long non-coding RNA (TCAC_LNC002569)". The record is from RNAcentral. Lineage: Eukaryota; Viridiplantae; Streptophyta; Magnoliopsida; Malvales; Malvaceae.